UGGGGUCUUGUGUUGUACAACAAUUUUUUGCCAUUGAUGAUGGCUCCGAUGUUUUGAUUCUCACAGGAAAUUAUAAUGAGGUGUUCGCUUCUUUGGGAUCAAAAGCUGGGAAUUGGUUCCUAUUUGAUGCAUUUUUUGCAGUUUCUUUGUCCUGUGUGUUUGGUUUAGCUAUUAGUUUCUUUGGCUUUGAGGCGAGAAGGGCGAUAUCUGCAACAGCAUUCACUGUGACUGGUGCAGUGCAUAAGUUUCUUACAGUUGUUAUCAAUGUUCUCAUUUGGGAUAAGCAUGCCAGUCCAUUUGGUUUGCUCUGCCUACUCUUCACGCUUGCUGGAGGUGUUCUCUAUCAGCAGUCAGUUACUAGACCUGGAGCUGAGUCUGUUCCAAAGCAGACAAAAAGUGAAAAUGAUGGCGCUGAAGAGAGUCAACUUGUCAAAAUAACUGAUGGUGAUGAGGAGAAAUAAGGUAGAGCAUAUCUAGUAAACAAGCUUUUGCAUUAAAACUAUUAUUUCAUUUGUUUUCUUAAUCUAUUUAGCUUGGAUGAUGAAUUAAAGGGGCUUAUUGUGAUGUAUGGUCGUUUUAUGAGUUAUGGUUUACUGACUGGAUAAAUCAUCAAAUCUUUGUAAGAUGUGACCAAUAUCGGAUGUGGAUAUAACUUGGAAUAUAUUACUGGUCCUUGCCUUUUUUGAGCUGCAUCUACAUCCAUGUUAUCUGUCUUUGCCAUUUUUAUGCUUUAAGCCUUUAACAGAAGUUGUUACUCUAUUGAACACCUGAUGGUUAUUUUCAUCAGAACUACUUUGGCGGCCUGGAUUAGAGGUUGCCCUUUUA
This 825-nucleotide unclassified non-coding RNA is filed under the name Hevea brasiliensis (rubber tree). Lineage: Eukaryota; Viridiplantae; Streptophyta; Magnoliopsida; Malpighiales; Euphorbiaceae. The record is from RNAcentral.